GAUGAACGCUGGCGGCGUGCCUAAUACAUGCAAGUCGAGCGAACAGACGAGGAGCUUGCUCCUCUGACGUUAGCGGCGGACGGGUGAGUAACACGUGGAUAACCCACCUAUAAGACUGGGAUAACUUCGGGAAACCGGAGCUAAUACCGGAUAAUAUAUUGAACCGCAUGGUUCAAUAGUGAAAGACGGUUUUGCUGUCACUUAUAGAUGGAUACGCGCCGCAUUAGCUAGUUGGUAAGGUAACGGCUUACCAAGGCAACGAGGCGUAGCCGAAGUGAGAGGGGGGUAGGCCGCAUGAGAGGUUGAACGGGCACAAUGCUCCUGCGGGAGGGACCAGUAGGCAACGGUCCGCAGUGGUGGAGAGCCUGGCGGAGCGGGGCCGAGUGAGUGAUGAAGGCGUUGGGUGCGGAAAGCUGGGUUAUGGGGGAAAAACAAAUUUGGAAGGAGCUGUACACUGCGUGACGGUACUUAAUCAGAAAGCCACGGCUAACUACGUG
This 497-nucleotide ribosomal RNA is filed under the name uncultured bacterium. RNAcentral describes it as "partial 16S ribosomal RNA". It matches the Rfam family "Bacterial small subunit ribosomal RNA", at positions 28 to 507 of the family's 1533-position model. The record is from RNAcentral.